RNAcentral lists this long non-coding RNA (295 nucleotides) under Callithrix jacchus (white-tufted-ear marmoset). RNAcentral describes it as "lncRNA (ENSCJAG00000080535.1)". Lineage: Eukaryota; Metazoa; Chordata; Mammalia; Primates; Cebidae. The record is from RNAcentral.
GCCCACUGAAAUUCUUCAAACUAGCCAAUCCUAAACUAUUCACUCCGCCCCACCUUGCUUUUUCCACAGAAACCCCAAGGAAGGCUCUGGCCUAAGCCUUGCCCUCACUCCUGUCUCUGGCUCCUGACCACGCUAGUGUCUUCCCAUGUGGCCCUGCAAGGCAUGCUAUGCUUCCUGUCUCCAGAACCUAUGGAGGGGAAAGGAAGGAGGCCUAGGAGGGAGAUGCAAUCUCUGGGAACUGCUUCAGUGGCUGGAUGUGAAGUCGGUCACAAAUGACAUGAUGAUUUCAAAGUAG